GCCGGGCGCGGUGGCGCGUGCCUGUAGUCCCAGCUACUCGGGAGGCUGAGGCUUGAGGAUCCCUUGAGUUCAGGAGUUCUGGGCUGUAGUGCGCUAUGCCGAUCGGGUGUCCGCACUAAGUUCGGCAUCAAUAUGGUGACCUCCCGGGAGCGGGGGACCGCCAGGUUGCCUAAGGAGGGGUGAACCGGCCCAGGUCGGAAACGGAGCAGGUCAAAACUCCCGUGCUGAUCAGUAGUGGGAUCGCGCCUGUGAAUAGCCACUGCACUCCAGCCUGGGCAACAUAGUGAGACCCUGCCUCU
RNAcentral lists this signal recognition particle RNA (299 nucleotides) under Piliocolobus tephrosceles (Ugandan red Colobus). RNAcentral's name for it is "Metazoan signal recognition particle RNA (ENSPTEG00000000660.1)". It matches the Rfam family "Metazoan signal recognition particle RNA". From Rfam's summary of the family: The signal recognition particle (SRP) is a universally conserved ribonucleoprotein. It is involved in the co-translational targeting of proteins to membranes. The eukaryotic SRP consists of a 300-nucleotide 7S RNA and six proteins: SRPs 72, 68, 54, 19, 14, and 9. The record is from RNAcentral. Lineage: Eukaryota; Metazoa; Chordata; Mammalia; Primates; Cercopithecidae.